Molecule: ribosomal RNA, 498 nt
Filed under: uncultured bacterium
Lineage: Bacteria
Description: partial 16S ribosomal RNA
Rfam family: Bacterial small subunit ribosomal RNA
Source: RNAcentral
AUUGAACGCUGGCGGAAUGCUUUACACAUGCAAGUCGAACGGUAGAGGGGGCAACCCCUCGAGAGUGGCGAACGGGUGAGUAAUAUAUCGGAACGUGCCCAGUCGUGGGGGAUAACGUAGCGAAAGUUACGCUAAUACCGCAUACGAUCUAAGGAUGAAAGCGGGGGACUCGCAAGAGCCUCGCGCGAUUGGAGCGGCCGAUAUCAGAUUAGGUAGUUGGUGGGGUAAAGGCUCACCAAGCCAACGAUCUGUAGCUGGUCUGAGAAGACGACCAGCCACACUGGAACUGAGACACGGUCCAGACUCUUACGGGAGGCAGCAGUGGGGAAUUUUGGACAAUGGACGCAAGUCUGAUCCAGCCAUUCCGCGUGCAGGAUGAAGGCCCUCGGGUUGUAAACUGCUUUUGUACGGAACGAAAAGGUUUCUAUUAAUACUAGGAGCUCAUGACGGUACCGUAAGAAUAAGCACCGGCUAACUACGUGCCAGCCGCCGCCGUAA